Molecule: non-coding RNA, 597 nt
Filed under: Pongo abelii (Sumatran orangutan)
Lineage: Eukaryota; Metazoa; Chordata; Mammalia; Primates; Hominidae
Source: RNAcentral
UUAAAUAUAAAGUCAAUAUUGUGAAAAAAAUAAGUCUUUGUUUUAAAAUGACUUACACAUUAUGAAAUUGUGAUCUCAGAUAAAAAUAGAAUGAAAUACCAUUACAAUGAGAAAAACACAAGGAAUGGCUAGCUUAAUUUACCUAAAAAGGAAAAAACAACAUUCUCGAAAAAUGCAAACAACUAUGAAAAUAAAGGAGUUGGCCGGGCGCGGUGGCUCACGCCCGUAAUCCCAGCACUUUGGGAAGCCAAGGCGGGUGGGAUCACCUGAGGUCAGGAGUUUGCAACCAGCCUGGCCAGCAUGGUGAAACUCCGUCUCUACUAAAAAUAGAAAAAAUUAGCCAGGCAUGGUAUAAAAAGUACUUAAUAUUAUGAAUAGUUUUCAUUAAUAUUACUGGUAACACUUGACAAUGUCCAAAUAAAAGUAUAUUUAAUCAUCAAGGGGGUCACUGAUUUAUCUUUUGUAAAAUUCAAUAGAUUAUUUUGAGCAUUCCAGGCCACUACACAGAUAGUCAUGCUGCAGCCUGAGGUAGUAGUUAAGAACAAGUAUCGUGAAGGCCCAUAUACAAAUCCCAACCGCACCCUGCCUAGCUUAGGC